ACUCCAUGGCAUUCCUGAACUGAACCGCCGGGAAACACGCAAGGGAAGAAGAGAAACAACCGUCAGUCACGGUCAAUACUCUACGUGCCAAAAUUAGCAGAUGCAUCGCAAGCGUACGUGCAUUCGUUUGGUAGAGCAACCACCAUUUAGGCAGAGGUAACAUGUCCAUUUUUCACACUAACUGCGCGCUAGGUACAGUACUAGCCAUGCUACACCGAUGGAGCGCCCAGUAGCAGCGCAGUAGGGCACUGCUGUGAACUGGCUGGCCCAGGCGGCUAGCUAGCCGCUGCUGCUGCCACUAGCUGCAGCAUGCAGGGGCAGCUACUCUGCGUCAGUCCGUCGGGGUGCGUGUGGGUGUGGGGCGGCUGACGGCGGGUCCCGCGCGCGCGUACGUGCCUCCCGGAGCGGGACGCGCAGGCCGUGGCUAGUAGCGCCGGCACGUCGAGCCCCACCACCGCACCGCACCACACCACCCCACGGUGGAUACGUAAAAUCCGGGGGAGUACGUCUUCCGAUGCAGGCCAGCCAGCCGCGGUCGCCUUCCCGCCGAGACCGGCCCGGCCCGGGGGCAGCCCCGUCAUUUCGGCCUCCGCUCCCCGUGCUGUACCGCCGCUGCCGCAGAUCUAGGCGCCCUAUUUAAUUUCGUCUAAGCCGCUCACUGUCACAGUGGAGGGUUGGGAGGGAAAGGAGAGGGAAGCCGAACCAGUUCGUCCGUUCGUUCCGGCCGUGUGGAUUGGACGUUUCAAAAGAAGAAAUCGCGAGCCUAGCUACAGAAAGGGCACCAGUUAUAUAGAGAGAAAGGAAGGAACUGCACCGUCUCGAGACCUUUGAGAGCGUGUGUCGAGCGGAGGAAGACGAGGAGCAGAGCGGGCAGGCAGGUGAGGCCGGCGAAGUUCACAGCCAGCUCUGGUGCUUGCUUUGGUGAUAUUCAUCAAGCUCUCGUCCAUGCCGCUUUGGUGGUGUCUCGUCUGCCCGCCCCCUGCUGCGUGCAUGUGCGUAUGAUCGUUUGGGCUAAAGCGAGGAGGUAGCAGGAACCAGGCAGCUGGGGAGCGCAUCGCAUGGAGGAGAGAGUGAAAAGAGGAAGAGCAGAAGGUGAGGGCGAAGAAGCGACCCUAACGGAAAGGAGCCCGCUUGGCCCGCUGCUGGGCCCGCCCCUGAGCUGAGCGGGAGGGAGGGAGGGCGGGGUGGGAGGAGGAGGAGGCGGAGGAUCUCCUCUCACGUCAAAGGUGGGGGAAAGCAUAAAGGGGCGAGGAAGGAGGAAGAGAAGGUGGUGGAGUGGAGAAAGCGAGCUGCAGAGAGGAAAGGCACCAAGCUUCAGUGAGUGAGCAAGGGAUAGAGUGUGAGUGAGUGUGGGAGUGAGCGAGUGAUACCUCUCCCCCAUAUAGCUGAGGCAGAGCAUCCGGUUCUUCCACCACCACCACCGCAUUGCUCCUCUCACUCCCCACCACAGCCAGUCAGUGUUCUGGUGAAGUUGAAAGAGGAGGAGGCGCCGGCCAGUCAUGGCAUUGCAGGAGCAGGAAGAAGACGAGGAAGAUGAAGAUGAAGGGGAAGACGGUGAGGAGGAUGGGAUCAUGACGAGGAGGGUGCUGUGGGGGAGGAGCUGCCGCUGAUUUCCUCCCCUGACCCGACCCGAGGCGCGCUGCCUGCUCCGGAGUAGUAGUAAGAUAUUGGCACAAUAGGCUCAAUCACUUUUUCUUUCCCUUGUUUUGCUGUUUUUGCGCUCCUUUCCCCGUUCAGUCAAUUGAUGAUUGCAUACUCUUCCCCGUGUAAUUUCUUUUCCUCCCUGUCCCUUCUGAUCUGUUGUUCUUGGUGGUUUCCCCGAUUCGGAAUGCAAAACGCUUUCGCAAA
This is a long non-coding RNA of Triticum aestivum (bread wheat), 1848 nucleotides long. RefSeq lists it as uncharacterized. The record is from RefSeq and is a predicted model, not a curated record. The transcript has 2 exons. Lineage: Eukaryota; Viridiplantae; Streptophyta; Magnoliopsida; Poales; Poaceae.